Molecule: long non-coding RNA, 1800 nt
Organism: Bolinopsis microptera
Lineage: Eukaryota; Metazoa; Ctenophora; Tentaculata; Lobata; Bolinopsidae
Exons: 4
Source: RefSeq, a predicted model, not a curated record
GGUAGUCGGUCUAGACUGGUAGUCAGAUUAGUUUUGAAGUCUUUAUCAGUAGGGUUGCAAUGUCCCACGGCGUGAAGCUGUAGUUAGUAUUUUAAGUCUUCGUAAAUUAGUAGUUAUUUAGAAUUGUGAAGUUCCCGGUGGGAAAAGCAGUGGCUUAAAGAUUGUUAAAGUUUCAAAUUUAUUAGAGCUUAUAGUUAAAAGAAUACUUACAAUUAUUUUAACAGCAUUGAUUAUUGAUUAUUGUGUUGACGAACUAGCCGAGGUGUUACAAGAGUGCCAUGAGAAUCAACUCCCCCUUCAACUCCCCAAAGACCUGUCAACCAGCACUAUACAAAAAGGGAAGCUCGCCUGCUGCUCGCUGCCUUUCGCCUUCUGCAUUCACCUGUCUCCUAUCAUGGCCCGGGGUCUUGUUCUGCUGUGUCCGUUCUCUCUCCACAUGUUACUCAUUUCUAUUAUAGAUUCCUCGCACUACUAGUACUACCUGUUCCCGAUAGAUCCUUCCAGAAUUAGGCUAUUGAGUUCCUUUCCUGAGGCAAUAUGACGGUGAUACCCACCCCACUUGUUCUGCCUGUCCUCACCUAAGCUCCACCAGUCGUAUUGCUUCAUUGAUUCCCCCCUCCUUCCUCGAGAACCGUUCGGCACUAUGUUAGAUCCUCGAGAUGACCAUGCAAGAUGGUUCAGUUCUAGUUGACAUUCCACUAUAUGAAAAGACCAGAUCGCCACUUUAUAUUCUUAUUCCUUGAGAGAGAGAGAGAACCGGAACAGCGACCUCGUGAAUCAUCCUAUUUAAUCGCUUCACCCUCGCCACAUUCGCUACUACUUCAAUUAUUGGGGUAAAUGGACAUUAACACUAAGUUAUGAGAUAUGAGAGUUAAAUUAAUAUUGUAGUCCUAUUUAACCCAAUUAUUUUACAACCCUUUAUUAACUUGUUUUAAUUGGUUAUCUUCCAGAUACAAAUUCGCAUAAAAUUCUGAAGUCCAUAAUUACAAUAGAAAUUACUGUCCUAAAAAUGUAUCCGUACAAAGAGAGUUUGGGUUUGAACUGUGCCCUGAGUGAGUCUCAAACCGGGAGGUAUUCCAUAAUAUCGGAACUUGAAUUUCCAUACUCUAGUUAAAAGGAGCCCAUUAUACGUAGUUAAAUUAAUACCAUCACAAUUUAAUGAAAUAUAAUAAAUAAAUAAUCUCUAGAAGUCAUGGAAAAUUGGAGCAUUAAAUAGGCCGUUAAGUAAGUUGUCGUGCUGAAACCCGAGUACGCCUCUUAACAAUGUAGCCCUAAUGCGGCUCUCUCUGUACAAAAUUUUCUAGCAAAAUUUUCAAAAAAUCUGGAAGAGACACCAAACCUUAGUUUGUUUUGUUAGUGCACCGUUAGUGCAAUUUAUUUAUUUACAUUGAUAUUAGUUGUUGCAGCCAUAGCCAUAAAAUGAUGAAGUCACAACAGAGAAGUAGGUAGAAGAGACAAAGAAGUGAUGUAAUUAUAAUGAGAAGUAAGAGAAGAAGAUGUUAAAGAGAAAGAAGUGAUAUAUUAUAGGAAAUAUACGGCCGUAUAAUUAGAUAAAGAUGGGAAUGAUGCGAGAGAUGUAUGAUGUUACGAGAUAAUGAGAUUAUGCUAUUAUGAGAUUUUGAAAUGUGAGACAAUUAUAUUAUGGGGAGAUAUAUCAAACUGCAGUAUAAAUUAUUAGCCGGCUAAGGGAUACGGGGUUUAGAAGAUCUUGUGAAGUUUAUUGGGAGGAGGUGCUAUAAUGGUUGUUGACAAGGUGUUAGUUUUAAUUAGUAGAUGGGCUUCUUAUCUGUUAUUUGAGUG